This 915-nucleotide long non-coding RNA is filed under the name Junco hyemalis (dark-eyed junco). RNAcentral's name for it is "lncRNA (ENSJHYG00000017770.1)". Lineage: Eukaryota; Metazoa; Chordata; Aves; Passeriformes; Passerellidae. The record is from RNAcentral.
UGGAAGCAGCCUGUGCCAGUUCUCAUGUGUGUCUUUUAAACUGCACAGACUGAUCCUAAAGGUCGAAGGAAGGUGCGGGCCAGUGAGCGGCUUCCUGCUGCAACCAGCACCAGGCCGGGUGCGCGCUCUGCUGCAGUGGAGCGUGGCAAAGAAGUCUUGAAAGAAACAUGGAGAGACGUGAAAAAGGAAGAGAGAGUCUUGCAGCCAGCAGCGGAGGAAGCAAAACAGGAAUACAGUGAUUCUCCCUGGGAUUCUGAGACUGAUUCUGAAGGUGGAAGCAAAGUGUCGGCCGAUGUGCAGCUUCCUGCUGCAGACCAAAACAGAGUGGGUGUGAGCUCUGCUGCAGUGGAGCAUGGCAAAGGUAAUUUCAGACGGUCUACAUGGUUGUCUUUGUGCGCCUCUGUGGAGUGGAUCAGUUUUUCGGAAAAGCAAAGUGAAAGAAGCACUCACAGCAGCAACACUCUUACCUUAUUUUUUAAUCUCUAUUAUCAGCUGCAAGAGCAGAACAGAAGGAACAUUUUAUGUCCUCUUCUGAGAAUAAGGUACUUCCUGAGCUCUUACACUACCCUUGGCAGAAGUCACAUUUCUUUGUGCUCUCUGCUCAAAGGCAGUACUGUUGAGGAUUCUUUUCCCAGCUGUUUAUCUUUUUUCUUGUUUGCUUAGCUUCCUACAUUACAGAGAGAAGAUCUUCAGCUAAAGGUUGAUUCUUCAACUCAAACGGAUUCUGAGCAGGACAAACAGGUGACUCUUAGAGAUAGAUGCAAAUAUCCCUAAAUUGAACCUAUCAGUGUAAACACAUGUACUCUUGCUGGUGAGUACAUUUUGAAAUAGUGCUGAGAGGAAGUAAUUAAUCUGGACAUGAGCUGUAUUUUGGACCUAAUUUCAUAUGUAUUUGAAGCAGAAGAGCUGCAAAAA